This 492-nucleotide ribosomal RNA is filed under the name uncultured bacterium. Its description in RNAcentral is "partial 16S ribosomal RNA". It matches the Rfam family "Bacterial small subunit ribosomal RNA", at positions 30 to 507 of the family's 1533-position model. The record is from RNAcentral.
AUUGAACGCUGGCGGUAGGCCUAACACAUGCAAGUCGAACGGCAGAAGAGUAAUUGCUUCUUGUUUCAGGUGCGGACUGGCGAAUAGUGGAUGGAUACAUGGCUGUCUAUGUUGUCUUGCGUGAUGACGUAGGGAAUCUUACCGUAAUAGUGCAUACGGAGUAAGUGUGAAAUCUUGGGAUCUUCGGACCUUGGGUGAUUCAAGGAGGCGAUGUCGGAUUAGCUAGUUGGCGGGGUAAAGGCCCACCAAGGCGACGAUCCGUAGCUGGUCUGAGAGGAUGAUCAGCCACACUGGAACUGAGACACGGUCCAGACUCCUACGGGAGGCAGCAGUGGGGAAUAUUGGACAAUGGGCGAAAGCCUGAUCCAGCCAUGCCGCGUGGGUGAAGAAGGCCUUCGGGUUGUAAAGCCCUUUUAUUUGGGAAGAAAAGCAGCAAGUUAAUACCCCGCUGUUUUGACGGUACCAAAAGAAUAAGCACCGGCUAACUUCGUG